GCCGAGACUACGUGGAACAUUGAGAUGUUCAAAGCAGCGGAGCCGUUGGUUACUACAGUAGACCGUCCGUCCAUAUCUGCCAUGCCAGCUGUGGAACCGUUGGUUACUAAACUAGACCGUCCGUCUGUAUCUGCCGUGUCAGCUGGAGUUCCAUAGCUUUUUCUUUUCGCCGGCGUGUUUCCUUUUUAGAUACUGUGCUUUUUAUAGCUUGG
RNAcentral lists this unclassified non-coding RNA (212 nucleotides) under Hevea brasiliensis (rubber tree). Lineage: Eukaryota; Viridiplantae; Streptophyta; Magnoliopsida; Malpighiales; Euphorbiaceae. The record is from RNAcentral.